GAUGAAGAACGUAGCGAAAUGCGAUAAGUAAUGUGAAUUGCAGAAUUCAGUGAAUCAUCGAAUCUUUGAACGCACAUUGCGCCCCUUGGUAUUCCGAGGGGCAUGCCUGUUCGAGCGUCAUUACACCACUCAAGCUAUGCUUGGUAUUGGGCGUCGUCCUUAGUUGGGCGCGCCUUAAAGACCUCGGCGAGGCCACUCCGGCUUUAGGCGUAGUAGAAUUUAUUCGAACGUCUGUCAAAGGAGAGGAACUCUGCCGACUGAAACCUUUAUUUUUCUAGGUUGACCUCGGAUCAGGUAGGGAUACCCGCUGAACUUAAGAAUAUCAAUAAGCGGAGGA
This 337-nucleotide unclassified non-coding RNA is filed under the name soil metagenome. RNAcentral's name for it is "partial contains 5.8S ribosomal RNA, internal transcribed spacer 2, and large subunit ribosomal RNA". The stretch from base 1 to 120 matches the Rfam family "5.8S ribosomal RNA", at positions 35 to 154 of the family's 154-position model. The record is from RNAcentral.